AAAAGUCCUAAAAGCAC
This 17-nucleotide transfer RNA is filed under the name Platymantis gilliardi (Gilliard's wrinkled ground frog). RNAcentral's name for it is "partial tRNA-Phe". The record is from RNAcentral. Lineage: Eukaryota; Metazoa; Chordata; Amphibia; Anura; Ceratobatrachidae. RNAcentral also lists the same sequence under 2 other names.